Molecule: ribosomal RNA, 443 nt
Filed under: uncultured bacterium
Lineage: Bacteria
Description: partial 16S ribosomal RNA
Rfam family: Bacterial small subunit ribosomal RNA
Source: RNAcentral
CCUACGGGUGGCUGCAGUGGGGAAUAUUGGGCAAUGGGCGCAAGCCUGACCCAGCAACGCCGCGUGAAGGAAGAAGGCUUUCGGGUUGUAAACUUCUUUUGUCAGGGACGAAACAAGUGACGGUACCUGACGAAUAAGCCACGGCUAACUACGUGGCACGAGCCGCGGUAAUACGUAGGUGGCAAGCGUUAUCCGGAUUUACUGGUUGUACAGGGCGUGUAGGCGGGGAAGCAAGUCAGAUGUGAAAACCACGGGCUCAACCUGUGGCCUGCAUUUGAAACUGUUUUUCUUGAGUGCUGGGGAGGCAAGCGGAAUGCGGGGUGUAGCGGUGAAAUGCGUAGAUAUACGGAGGAACACCAGUUGCGAAGGCGGAUUGCUGGAGAGUAACUGACGCUGAGGCGCGAAGGCGUGGGGAGCAAACAGGAUUAGAUACCCCGGUAGUC